UACACUCCUACGGGAGGCAGCAGUGGGGAAUUUUGGACAAUGGACGAAAGCCUGAUCCAGCAAUGCCGCGUGAGUGAAGAAGGCCUUCGGGUUGUAAAGCUCUUUUGUCAGGGAAGAAACGGUGAAAGCUAAUAUCUUUUGCUAAUGACGGUACCUGAAGAAUAAGCACCGGCUAACUACGUGCCAGCAGCCGCGGUAAUACGUAGGGUGCAAGCGUUAAUCGGAAUUACUGGGCGUAAAGCGUGCGCAGGCGGUUUUGUAAGUCUGAUGUGAAAUCCCCGGGCUCAACCUGGGAAUUGCAUUGGAGACUGCAAGGCUAGAAUCUGGCAGAGGGGGGUAGAAUUGCACGUGUAGCAGUGAAAUGCGUAGAUAUGUGGAGGAACACCGAUGGCGAAGGCAGCCCCCUGGGUCAAGAUUGACGCUCAUGCACGAAAGCGUGGGGAGCAAACAGGAUUAGAAACCCUAGUAGUCCC
Molecule: ribosomal RNA, 473 nt
Filed under: uncultured organism
Description: partial 16S ribosomal RNA
Rfam family: Bacterial small subunit ribosomal RNA
Source: RNAcentral